AUCUGCAAUCAACGAGAUCGAUUCAGGACACGUUUGCGAGAGACGGAAGAAGAGGUAAGGCAAUUGAAAGAGAAGAUAGGGAUCUUAACGGCAGAGCUGGAGAAGNNNNNNNNNNNNUCAAACUAUAUGGCAAGAUACGUUAUGUCCAGGAUUACAAUCUUGAGAAAGUAGUUUCUAGGGGAUCUAAGAAGCAAGCAGAGGAUUUGGAAAGUGGCUUCAGCUCAGACGUUGAGUCCAAGUACAAGAAGAUAUAUGAAGAUGAUAUAAAUCCAUUUGCUGCGUUUUCGAAGAAGGAAAGAGAUCAAAGAUACAAGGAAUUAGGUUUCAGGGACAGAAUCACACUUAGUAGUGGACGUUUCCUUCUGGGCAACAAGUAUGCUCGAGCUUUUGCAUUUUUCUACACCAUUGGGCAACAUAUCCUCGUGUUCACCUGUCUCUACAGGAUGUCAGCUCUGAGCUAUCUGAGUAAUGGCGAGGAAUCAUUUACUGGAGAUAAAAUGCAGAACCUCCCACAUUCACUCUAGUUUACAUUUGUACUAAUCUUCUCUGGUUUCUGCUUAUAAAAUGAAAGAAGUGUCAAAACUAUGAAUAGAAAGGCCAUACAAUGUACAUAAAACUAAGAGUUGC
Molecule: unclassified non-coding RNA, 627 nt
Filed under: Hevea brasiliensis (rubber tree)
Lineage: Eukaryota; Viridiplantae; Streptophyta; Magnoliopsida; Malpighiales; Euphorbiaceae
Source: RNAcentral